This 253-nucleotide ribosomal RNA is filed under the name uncultured bacterium. Its description in RNAcentral is "partial 16S ribosomal RNA". It matches the Rfam family "Bacterial small subunit ribosomal RNA", at positions 524 to 776 of the family's 1533-position model. The record is from RNAcentral.
UACAGAGGUCUCAAGCGUUGUUCGGAUUCAUUGGGCGUAAAGGGUGCGUAGGUGGCGCUGUAAGUCAGGUGUGAAAUUUCGGAGCUCAACUUCGAAACUGCAUUUGAUACUGCGGUGCUUGAGGACUGGAGAGGAGACUGGAAUUUACGGUGUAGCAGUGAAAUGCGUAGAGAUCGUAAGGAAGACCAGUGGCGAAGGCGGGUCUCUGGGCAUUAACUGACGCUGAGGAGCGAAAGCAUGGGGAGCGAACAGG